GGCGGUCGUUGCACCUACCCACGAUCAUGGCGGUGGUUGUGCAUAAUCCAACGGCCGGCGGCCGUUCGAAUGGCCGUGGAGUCGUAACUGGCCAUGAUUCUACGGCCUUAUCCUCUCAAUGGCUAGCAGAUUGGGCAGGAGAACGCAAUUCCUGUGUUCCAAUCCAUUUUUUUUAAAUUUUUCGAAUUGAAGUUGAUGGGUGUUGCCGACUUCAAUUCGGGAUGGAUCCUUAUGGGCCGGUUCUCACUUUCUCCCCUUGAAAAUUUCGUCCUUGAAAUUUGAGAAAUCUAGGCCUUCCAAAUUUAGAUAUGCUCAGCCCAUGGUAGCUAGAGAACUUAUUAUGGGGUUUUUUCCUAAUUCAAGCACCACUGCAGCACCUUGCCAUAAUAAACACCAAGGCUAGCCCUCAUGAGUUCUUUACUCGAACACAUAAUACGCAUCUGUCAUGCACAUCCAUACCUCUACUCGAUACUCUAUCAAACAGAACUUAUGUGACAUCCUCGAGUGCCCGCAGGCAACCCGACCCUUAG
Molecule: long non-coding RNA, 530 nt
Filed under: Phoenix dactylifera (date palm)
Lineage: Eukaryota; Viridiplantae; Streptophyta; Magnoliopsida; Arecales; Arecaceae
Description: long non-coding RNA (PDAC_LNC022214)
Source: RNAcentral